AACAAACGCUGGCGGCGUGCCUAACACAUGCAAGUCGAGCGCGAACGGUUUCUUCGGAGAUCUAGUAGAGCGGCGAACGGGUGAGUAACGCGUGGGUAAUCUGCCCUCUGGUGGGGAAUAACCAUGGGAAACUGUGGCUAAUGCCGCAUCAGCUCUAGGACUCUUCGGCGUCCUUGAGGAAAGCAUGCCUCUGCUUCAAGCAUGCGCCAGAGGAGGAGCCCGCGUCCCAUUAGCUAGUUGGUGGGGUAAUGGCCUACAAAGGCAACGAUGGGUAGCCGGCCUGAGAGGGUGAUCGGCCACACUGGGACUGAGACACGGCCCAG
RNAcentral lists this ribosomal RNA (323 nucleotides) under uncultured bacterium. Its description in RNAcentral is "bacterial SSU rRNA". It matches the Rfam family "Bacterial small subunit ribosomal RNA", at positions 29 to 334 of the family's 1533-position model. The record is from RNAcentral.